Molecule: ribosomal RNA, 1108 nt
Filed under: uncultured bacterium
Lineage: Bacteria
Description: bacterial SSU rRNA
Rfam family: Bacterial small subunit ribosomal RNA
Source: RNAcentral
GUCACCCCCCCUGGAAUUGAGACCGGUCCAGCUUCUACGGAGGCAGCAGGGGGAAUCUGCCAAUGGCGAAGCUGACGCAGCACGCCGCGGAGGAUGAGCUUCGGGUGUAACUCUUCAGCAGACGAAUGACGUACUGCAGAGAGCACGACUACUACGUGCAGCAGCCGCGUAAUACGUAGGGUGCAGCGUGUCCGGAUUUAUUGGCGUAAAGAGCUCGUAGGCGGUUUGAAAGUCAGGUGUGAAACCUCCAGGCUCACCUGGAGACGCACUUGAUACUUCAAUGACUUGAGUACGGUAGGGGACACGGAAUUCCUGGUGUAGCGGUGAAAUGCACAGAUAUCAGGAGGAACACCGAUGGCGAAGGCAGUGGUCUGGGCCGAUACUGACGCUGAGGAGCGAAAGCGUGGGGAGCGAACAGGAUUAGAUACCCUGGUAGUCCACGCCCUAAACUAUGGAUACUCGACGUGCGCGAUACACAGUGCGCGUCUGAGCGAAAGCAUUAAGUAUCCCACCUGGGAAGUACGUCCGCAAGGAUGAAACUCAAAGGAAUUGGCGGGGGUCCGCACAAGCGGUGGAGCAUGUAGUUUAAUUCGAUGAUACGCGAGGAACCUUACCUGGGCUAGAAUGCGGUUUGACCGUAUGUGAAAGCAUAUUUUGUAGCAAUACACAGAUCGUAAGGUGCUGCAUGGCUGUCGUCAGCUCGUGCCGUGAGGUGUUGGGUUAAGUCCCGCAACGAGCGCAACCCCUAUCAUUAGUUGCCAUCAGGUUAAGCUGGGAACUCUAAUGAAACUGCCGUCGUAAGACGCGAGGAAGGAGGGGAUGAUGUCAAGUCAUCAUGGCCUUUAUGCCCAGGGCUACACACGUGCUACAAUGGGGGGUACAAAGGGCUGCCACUUGGUGACAAGGAGCUAAUCCCAAAAAACCUCUCUCAGUUCAGAUUGCAGGCUGCAACUCGCCUGCAUGAAGCUGGAAUCGCUAGUAAUCGUAUAUCAGCAAUGAUACGGUGAAUACGUUCCCGGACCUUGCACACACCGCCCGUCAAGCCAUGGGAGCCGGGUGUACCUAAAGUCGGUAACCGAAAGGAUCUGCCUAGGUAAACCUGAGGUAU